This 72-nucleotide transfer RNA is filed under the name Hordeum vulgare. RNAcentral describes it as "tRNA-OTHER". Lineage: Eukaryota; Viridiplantae; Streptophyta; Magnoliopsida; Poales; Poaceae. The record is from RNAcentral.
GAGUGUGUAGCCUAGCGGUAGCGUGCGCGCCUGUGUUGCAGGAGGGCGUGGGUUCGAUUCCCCCUUGCCGCA